This 403-nucleotide ribosomal RNA is filed under the name uncultured bacterium. Its description in RNAcentral is "partial 16S ribosomal RNA". It matches the Rfam family "Bacterial small subunit ribosomal RNA", at positions 30 to 526 of the family's 1533-position model. The record is from RNAcentral.
AUUGAACGCUGGCGGCAGGCCUAACACAUGCAAGUCGAGCGAGCGGCGGAAGGGGGAGUAAUGUAUGGGGACUGCCCGAUAGAGGGGGAUAACAACUGGAAAAGGUAGCUAAUACAGCAUACUAUCGGAUAACACACAUGGGAUUAUCUAGGUGGUGAGUGAAUGGCGCACCAAGGCGACGAUCCAUAGCUGGUCUGAGAGGAGGAUCAGCCAUACUGGGACUUAGACACGGCCCAGACUCCUACGGAGGCAGCAGUGGGGAAUAGUGCACAAUGGGCGCAAGCCUGAUGCAGCCAUGCCGCGUGUAUGAAGAAGGCCCUAGGGUUGUAAAGUACUUUCAGUCGGGAGGCGUUACCGACAGAAGAAGCACCGGCUAACUCCGUGCCAGCAGCCGCGGUAAUUC